GACGAACGCUGGCGGCGUGCUUAACACAUGCAAGUCGAACGGAAAGGCCCUGCUUUUGUGGGGUGCUCGAGUGGCGAACGGGUGAGUAACACGUGAGUAACCUGCCCUUGACUUUGGGAUAACUUCAGGAAACUGGGGCUAAUACCGGAUAGGAGCUCCUGCUGCAUGGUGGGGGUUGGAAAGUUUCGGCGGUUGGGGAUGGACUCGCGGCUUAUCAGCUUGUUGGUGGGGUAGUGGCUUACCAAGGCUUUGACGGGUAGCCGGCCUGAGAGGGUGACCGGCCACAGUGGGACUGAGAGACGGCCCAGACUCCUACGGGAGGCAGCAGUGGGGAAUAUUGCACAAGGGGCGGAAGCCUGAUGCAGCAACGCCGCGUGCGGGAUGACGGCCUUCGGGUUGUAAACCGCUUUCGCCUGUGACGAAGCGUGAGUGACGGGAAGGGGUAAAGAAGCACCGGCUAACUACG
This 466-nucleotide ribosomal RNA is filed under the name uncultured bacterium. RNAcentral's name for it is "partial 16S ribosomal RNA". It matches the Rfam family "Bacterial small subunit ribosomal RNA", at positions 28 to 505 of the family's 1533-position model. The record is from RNAcentral.